CGGCCGCCCGUGUGCUGGAUUCACCCUUCCGUAAUUCCAGCUCCAAUACCGUAUACUAUUCGUUGGUGCAGUUAAAAAGCUCGUAUCCGAGAUUUCAUUACGCUCAGUUAAGUUUCAAUCCUGAUUUCAUUACGGUCCUGCUUCGUUGACUUAAACUUCUAUGCUAUUCUUUUAGCGUGGCUGGCGACUGUCUCGUUUACUUUGAUAAAAUUAAAGUGUUCAGAGCAGGUGUUAGCCUGAACAUUGCUCUGGGAAUAAUGCUAUGAGACUUUGGUUCUAAUGUAUUGGUGAUUGGGACCAGAGUAAUGAUUGAUAGGGACGGUUGGGGUCUUACGUACUGCAAAGCGAGAGGUGAAAUUCUUGGACCUUUGUAUGACGAACAACUGCGAAAGCAUUGGACUAGGACGUUCCCGUUGAUCAAGAACGAAAGUUGGGGGAUCGAAGACGAUCAGAUACCGUCGUAGUCUCAACCAUAAACUAUGCCAGCUAGGGAUCGGAGGACGUUACAUGUUCGACUCCUUCGGCACCUUAUGAGAAAUCAAAGCAUUUGGGUUCCGGGGGGAGUAUGGUCGCAAGGCUGAAACUUAAAGGAAUUGACGGGAGGGCACCACCAGGAGUGGAGCCUGUGGCUUAAUUUGACUCAACACGGGAAAACUUACCAGGUCCGGACAUAGUAAGGAUUGACAGAUUGAAAGCUCUUUCUUGAUUCUAUGGGUGGUGGUGCAUGGCCGUUCUUAGUUGGUGGAGUGAUUUGUCUGGUUAAUUCCGUUAACGAACGAGACCUCAGCCUGCUAAAUAGUGUCAUUUUCUUUUAGAAGAUGUGCACUUCUUAGAGGGACUACUUGUGAAACAACCAAGCGGAAGCUUGAGGCAAUAACAGGUCUGUGAUGCCCUUAGAUGUUCUGGGCCGCACAUGGGCUACACUGGUGCAUUCAACAAGCAUAAUCACCUCAACCGAAGGGUUAGGGUAAUCUUUGAAAUUGCACCGUGCUUGGGAUAGACUAUUGCAAUUUUUAGUCUUCAACGAGGAAUUCCUAGUAAACGCAAGUCAUCAGCUUGCAUUGAUUACGUCCCUGCCCUUUGUACACACCGCCC
RNAcentral lists this ribosomal RNA (1095 nucleotides) under uncultured Rhizaria. RNAcentral's name for it is "bacterial SSU rRNA". It matches the Rfam family "Eukaryotic small subunit ribosomal RNA", at positions 570 to 1674 of the family's 1831-position model. The record is from RNAcentral.